AAAAGCGACAUCUCCACAGAACUUCCUACCUAGAAUAUUUCUAAAGUAUGAUGUGUUUUACAGCAUUAGUGAAGGAGAUUAUCACAUCUAGACAUUUGUCCUAAAGCAUGAAUGAAAUUAAACCUAGGGCCAAAGAUUCUUUACCAAUCAUUCAUCUUACAUUAUUUGGGCCUCUUUUUUAUUUACUAUAUAAGAUACCAUGCAGUGUUUUCCUAGACUAUAUAGAGCAUUGUAUCACCUCCCUGCUAAGUCUGUUGAAAAUAGGUUUUGACCAAUUUAGAGAACCAUGCAAAAUAUAUUACCUUUGUAAGAUUUUUUAAUACACAAAAUUAAGAAAUUAAUAUUACCUUAAAUGUGAAGUUUAUCCUCAUCAUUUUAAAUCCAUAUAACUGUACUUUGCAUAUUUAUAAAAUAUAGUGGGAAAAGAUGUGGGAAGGUUUAUGUGUGAUUUACUAUUCAUGUUUUUACAUUGCCUGAUUUUUAUGUGAAAAAAAAUAUUAGCAACUUGUUCCUCAACACAAUUUAUUCUAAACAUUUCAAAAAAAGAAUUACAAAGUUGCACUUCCAUUUCAUGCUGAACUAUAAUUUUUUAAUGUAACAUGGUUAAGUUUUUUUUAUAUAUAUGUUUUCCCAGGAAUGUCUAAUUGUAACUUUUUAUCAAUUAAUAACAAUAUUUUGGAACCAAGUGCUCAUUUAAUAUAUUACAAGCUUGAAGGGAAGUUAGACUUCUCUUUUCAUACAGAUUACUGUUUGGUACUAAUAAUAAGAUACCAUUCUCAGCACUGUCAUGCUAAUAUUUAAGUCGCACUAUCAUUGAACACAUUUAAUCUAAUGAUAUAAAAUGAUAGUUACACUGUACAAUUUAAAUUGGAAUAAAGUGGCAGGGAACAGAUUUGAACACAAAUCCAUUCAUCCAAUGGAGAUAAACAUGGGAGAAUCUCAUUUUAUCUUUUUGACUGUUACGUAGUUUGCAAAAGAUGUAAGUAACUUGUUGGCUGUUUCUAAAUGCUAACUGAUGAAAACUUCAACUCUAAAUAUUUGUUCAGCAUGAUUUUAUAGAAUUUUGAUAGCUUUAUUCAAAAGUUAAGAGGAAAUGCAUAUGUAAAUAAAGCAGUUCUAAAUAGCAAUUUCAGAGAAAUGUUAAUGGGAAUGAUGAAAGUGGGCCAGCUAAAUUAGAAUGGCCAAGUAACUGGCUUGGGUUUAGGACCUAUGUAUAGAGGCCACCAAUUUCUUUUAAUAACUGUGGUUUGUUAUGUUAUAUUCUUGAGGAAAAUAAUUGAGUUGCUUCAUAAAAAUAAAGGAAUAGCCAUGAAUAUAAUAAUGCUGUUUACAUAGAAUUCUUUAUAAAUUUCAUACAUAUAUGAAUGCUCAAAAUGUUUGAGUUUGUCAUAAAUUAUAUUGUAGUUAUACUUGAGACCUGCACAUUGUAAUAGAAUCUAAAAAUAAAAGUC
RNAcentral lists this long non-coding RNA (1451 nucleotides) under Bos taurus (domestic cattle). Its description in RNAcentral is "long non-coding RNA NONBTAT010891". Lineage: Eukaryota; Metazoa; Chordata; Mammalia; Artiodactyla; Bovidae. The record is from RNAcentral.